RNAcentral lists this long non-coding RNA (784 nucleotides) under Felis catus (domestic cat). RNAcentral describes it as "lncRNA (ENSFCAG00000052950.1)". Lineage: Eukaryota; Metazoa; Chordata; Mammalia; Carnivora; Felidae. The record is from RNAcentral.
GGAGUCCCAAUGCAUAGAAUUGUUGUGAACAGAUUUAACUACUGCGUAGUUUUGUGACCAAAUGUAAGAGUGACAACUAGGCAUUGAAACUCUCCAGGACAGAAAUGAGGAAACUACUCCAGAGAGCAUUUGGAGGCUUGAGAUCUCUCAGACCUGGAAGGACUCUUCCUAUAGAAAUAAUACAGGAUGCUCAGUUAAACUAGAACUCUGGAUAAACAAAUGCUUUCCUGCCCCUUGAGACUGAAUAAUUCGUUGCUGCGAAUUUUCUUCCACACAUUGAGGGAAGGAAUGAUUGAAGCUAACUCCUCAAACAGACUUCUGCCCAGAUGCACAGUACGUGUUGCCAAAGCCACAUGGUCAUCCCAUGGAGCCUACAUAUGUGCAACUGGAGGAUAGUUUCUUACUGGAGCAGGAAUGUGCUGAUCAAGAGAAAUUUGCUGGUGUCAUUUACAGCAUGGUGUUGAAGAAUCAUAAGAGUUCAAUAUUAAGUAUAGAGGAAUCGCCUACAUAUACUGAUUACAUCAUGGUGAGUCUCUAUCCUUAUCAUUUGAGUUAGUUAACAUUAUUCUGUGAGCUCCAUAUUAAACCAGAAUAUAUGUCUUCACUUUACCAGAGAGUCAUAAAUUGGGGAAGACAGCAAAGAACUAUUUUGUAGCCAAGAAACAUUCUAUGUACUAACAUGCAGGCUAGGACUGACCCAUACUCCCUCUGAUUCAGAGUCCUUAGCCACAUUCUUUUCUCUGCUUGAACUUAAUUGGAUUUCUCCCUCUCUCCCCCCUUUCUU